RNAcentral lists this ribosomal RNA (253 nucleotides) under uncultured bacterium. Its description in RNAcentral is "partial 16S ribosomal RNA". It matches the Rfam family "Bacterial small subunit ribosomal RNA", at positions 524 to 776 of the family's 1533-position model. The record is from RNAcentral.
GACGUAGGGGGCCAGCGUUGUUCGGAAUUACUGGGUGUAAAGGGUCCGUAGGCGGUGCGGCAAGUCGGGAGUGAAAUCUCUGGGCUUAACCCAGAGGCUGCUUCCGAAACUGCUGUGCUUGAGUGUGGGAGAGGCGCGUGGAAUUGCAGGUGUAGCGGUGAAAUGCGUAGAUAUCUGCAGGAACACCCGUGGCGAAAGCGGCGCGCUGGACCACAACUGACGCUGAAUGACGAAAGCUAGGGGAGCAAACAGG